UACCUAUUAACAUUGAGGAUGCUUCUCGGAGUGAUGUUGAAAUCGAAAAGGCUUUGCAGGCCGGAGAAACACUUGUUCGAGUUAAUCAGGAUACCCGCUUGAAUAACCAAGUUCUUGAUUUGCGAACACCUGCGAAUCAGGGGAUAUUCCGCAUUAAGAGUCAAGUUGGCAAUAUCUUUAGGCAAUUCUUGAUAUCCGAAGGCUUUUUUGAAAUCCACUCACCAAAAACUGAUUGCUGGUUCAAGUGAAGGUGGAGCUGCUGUUUUUAGACUCAACUACAAGGGUCAAGAUGCAUGCCUUGCCCAGUCGCCUCAGCUUCACAAGCAGAUGGCUAUAUGUGGUGACUUCGGCCGUAUUUUUGAGAUUGGUACUGUUUUUAGAGCUGAGGACUCCUUUACCCAUAGGCAUUUGUGUGAGUUCACUGGCCUUGAUGUUGAGAUGGAGAUCAAGAGGCACUACUUUGAGGUAGAAUUAGUAAUUUUUUAGGCAUUUGUUUACCUUUAUCGCCCUAUAUGACGAUGUAUGUUAACUUAUGGUGCAAUUAUAUGCUCGUUUGUUCAGGUCAUG
Malus domestica (apple) is the source of this 567-nucleotide non-coding RNA. The record is from RefSeq and is a predicted model, not a curated record. NCBI's taxonomy places the organism in Eukaryota, Viridiplantae, Streptophyta, Magnoliopsida, Rosales, Rosaceae.